CGCUAUCAAGGUUGAAGGCCACAGUAACUCCAGCCACAUGGGUUUUGUGGCGGCUAACAGUUAGCCUAGUUUUCGCCUAAACCUUUGUCGCUGUUUUCUCUUCUAAAAUGUGACACUGUGCACAGGACAGAAGAUAUAAGGAGAAACCCUGGAGGUUUUCUGCAGAGUCCCAUAGAAGAUUGGCUUCUUUCCGUUUCAAGAAUGGCGAGCGGAGCCUGUAUGGAACUGAGCCCUUCAACCUCCAUGCCUGAAGUGAGGAGUCACGGCUCGAAGGACGAGGUCAAAUCUGGUGUGCAGUUUCCAACUAAUUGGGAAUCAGUGACCGAGUGUAGCCGAGCCGAUAAAUGCCGUAUUCAGGAUGCUAAUAUGCCAACAUCUCCCUGAUUUUUCUCCAUCCGUCUACUGACUCCUGGUUCAUGACUCUGACUUCUUUCCAGUCUAAGUAGCAAGUGGACCUUAACCAUGAUAUGAAUUUUUAUGUCAAAGAGUUAAGACCUGGUCACAUCAGAAAUCACAAGAGCAAACUUCAUUUGUAUGCGUAUGCUAAUGAUAUGUGCCAUUUGGGACUAUUUGCAAUGCUAACUGGUGAACUGCUGUAGCUGUGAGUUAAAUUCACUUCAUGCUUUCCUCAUGUACGUCCACUUCCAUGUCUGUAAAA
Long non-coding RNA from Amphiprion ocellaris (clown anemonefish), 658 nucleotides. RefSeq lists it as uncharacterized. The record is from RefSeq and is a predicted model, not a curated record. NCBI's taxonomy places the organism in Eukaryota, Metazoa, Chordata, Actinopteri, Pomacentridae. The transcript is spliced from 4 exons.